Long non-coding RNA from Panicum virgatum (switchgrass), 1251 nucleotides. RefSeq lists it as uncharacterized. NCBI's taxonomy places the organism in Eukaryota, Viridiplantae, Streptophyta, Magnoliopsida, Poales, Poaceae. The transcript is spliced from 5 exons. The record is from RefSeq and is a predicted model, not a curated record.
CCAUAUUCGUCAUCCGUACGAUCUUCAUCUGACGGUUGGAAAUCAUUCUCGCAAAGCAUCUCGACCUCUCGUGGUCCCUCUCGCUCUGUCGCCGCGCGGCUAGCGUGCCUCCUCCGUCUCUCCAUAUAUCUCUCCUCCCUCUUGUUUUUGAAGUAUCCCAUCCACAAGAACACAACUUCAGCACAGAUUUUCCCAUCAUCAAAUAGCUCAAUCCAAUCUGGUUCACACCCUCUCCGCAAGAUCCAAAACUUUUGUCUUCCUGAAUGCUUCCAGGUUCAUAUAAUAGAACUGGGAAGACAAAGAACACCAACAAAGAUUAUAUUCAUCACUAGCACGGAAUCAAAACAAUAGAAGCAAAAAGGUUCAAGAAUGCAUUGGAGCAGCAGUGGUUCCUAUGGGACCAGAUAAAGCUCUUUCAUUGGUUCCAAUAGCUUUUCAUGAAGAUCGGUUGACAUGCUCAAAUUCUUGGCUUCUACCUAUUUUGGAUAAGUAUACAUAUGGAGCCCUGCUGCAACUUUUUCUAGAGCAUAUUGUACCCCUAGCAAAAUCUGUACAAAAUGCAUCUGACAUGGUUUGAGCAGAAUAUCAAGUGCCGUGGUGGAUAUAUUAAGCUUAUAUCCUAUUAUGUCAACCAGAAAAAAAAUUAGUGUCGACACUCCAUAAAGCCUCUAUUGUUGUUGGCACCUCCGAUUGCCACAUUAAAAGAGUUUUCAACUUGGUCAAGACACGCCUAAACAGGUUCAAAAGACCAAACAAUUUUGAAUUUUGCUUCAGGGAUCACAUAUGUACCUAGCUAUGCUGAACUGUCAGUGUUUCCCCCCAAAGUAGAUGUGUAACUGCAAAUUCGAUCCUCCACAGCUGAGUACAGGUUCCAAUGAGCAGUGUGUCAAACCAGAUACGAAGCAAACAACUCUAGCGACCACUGAAGAUCAGCACUAGAGGACAAUCUUUUGUGGACACUACAAGUCAGAUCAAAUCAGGCAGCUGUUGCUCCCAGGAUUAACACAAGCCAGCUCAGAUUAGCACAACUCAUUUCUUUGGAUUCUACGGAUAAAGUCACCAUCAGUACAUGUAACUUGGACGCUUGUUCAUCUAAAAACUCUGUAUCAAUGCAUACAAAUAGAUAAAUGUUUAAGUAUCCGUAAUUUCAAAUCCCUUCAUGUACAAUUAGCGACAGUUCCGAUUUCUGUACUCCAAACCUUUCUUUUAGCAAACAUAACUGAUACCUUAAAGAUAUAUGUGAUGCAUGAA